This 425-nucleotide ribosomal RNA is filed under the name uncultured bacterium. Its description in RNAcentral is "bacterial SSU rRNA". It matches the Rfam family "Bacterial small subunit ribosomal RNA", at positions 359 to 776 of the family's 1533-position model. The record is from RNAcentral.
GAAUAUUGCACAAUGGGGGAAACCCUGAUGCAGCCAUGCCGCGUGUGUGAAGAAGGCCUUCGGGUUGUAAAGCACUUUCAGUGGUGAGGAAGGUUGGUAGUUUAAUACGCUACCAAAUUGACGUUAGCCACAGAAGAAGCACCGGCUAACUCCGUGCCAGCAGCCGCGGUAAUACGGGGGGUGCGAGCGUUAAUCGGAAUUACUGGGCGUAAAGCGUACGUAGGCGGCUUGUUAAGCAAGAUGUGAAAUCCCCGGGCUCAACCUGGGAAUGGCAUUUUGAACUGGCAAGCUCGAGUUCUGAAGAGGGUGGUAGAAUUUCCUGUGUAGCGGUGAAAUGCGUAGAUAUAGGAAGGAAUACCAGUGGCGAAGGCGGCCACCUGGUCAGAAACUGACGCUGAGGUACGAAAGCGUGGGGAGCAAACAGG